RNAcentral lists this ribosomal RNA (646 nucleotides) under bacterium HZ35-15. RNAcentral describes it as "bacterial SSU rRNA". It matches the Rfam family "Bacterial small subunit ribosomal RNA", at positions 338 to 974 of the family's 1533-position model. The record is from RNAcentral.
CCUACGGGAGGCAGCAGUAGGGAAUCUUCCGCAAUGGACGAAAGUCUGACGGAGCAACGCCGCGUGAACGAUGAAGGCCUUCGGGUCGUUUAAAGUUCUGUUGACAGGGAAGAACAAGUACCGGAGUAACUGCCGGUACCUUGACGGUACCUGACCAGAAAGCCACGGCUAACUACGUGCCAGCAGCCGCGGUAAUACGUAGGUGGCAAGCGUUGUCCGGAAUUAUUGGGCGUAAAGCGCGCGCAGGCGUUCCUUAAGUCUGAUGUGAAAGCCCCCGCCUCCACCGGGGAGGGUCAUUGGAAACUGGGGAACUUGAGUGCAGAAGAGGAGAGCGGAAUUCCACGUGUAGCGGUGAAAUGCGUAGAGAUGUGGAGGAACACCAGUGGCGAAGGCGGCUCUCUGGUCUGUAACUGACGCUGAGGCGCGAAAGCGUGGGGAGCGAACAGGAUUAGAUACCCUGGUAGUCCACGCCGUAAACGAUGAGUGCUAAGUGUUAGAGGGUUUCCGCCCUUUAGUGCUGCAGCAAACGCAUUAAGCACUCCGCCUGGGGAGUACGGCCGCAAGGCUGAAACUCAAAGGAAUUGACGGGGGCCCGCACAAGCGGUGGAGCAUGUGGUUUAAUUCGAAGCAACGCGAAGAACCUUAC